RNAcentral lists this ribosomal RNA (1158 nucleotides) under Enterococcus durans. Its description in RNAcentral is "bacterial SSU rRNA". It matches the Rfam family "Bacterial small subunit ribosomal RNA", at positions 49 to 1181 of the family's 1533-position model. The record is from RNAcentral. Lineage: Bacteria; Bacillati; Bacillota; Bacilli; Lactobacillales; Enterococcaceae.
CUAUACAUGCAGUCGUACGCUUCUUUUUCCACCGGAGCUUGCUCCACCGGAAAAAGAAGAGUGGCGAACGGGUGAGUAACACGUGGGUAACCUGCCCAUCAGAAGGGGAUAACACUUGGAAACAGGUGCUAAUACCGUAUAACAAUCGAAACCGCAUGGUUUUGAUUUGAAAGGCGCUUUCGGGUGUCGCUGAUGGAUGGACCCGCGGUGCAUUAGCUAGUUGGUGAGGUAACGGCUCACCAAGGCCACGAUGCAUAGCCGACCUGAGAGGGUGAUCGGCCACAUUGGGACUGAGACACGGCCCAAACUCCUACGGGAGGCAGCAGUAGGGAAUCUUCGGCAAUGGACGAAAGUCUGACCGAGCAACGCCGCGUGAGUGAAGAAGGUUUUCGGAUCGUAAAACUCUGUUGUUAGAGAAGAACAAGGAUGAGAGUAACUGUUCAUCCCUUGACGGUAUCUAACCAGAAAGCCACGGCUAACUACGUGCCAGCAGCCGCGGUAAUACGUAGGUGGCAAGCGUUGUCCGGAUUUAUUGGGCGUAAAGCGAGCGCAGGCGGUUUCUUAAGUCUGAUGUGAAAGCCCCCGGCUCAACCGGGGAGGGUCAUUGGAAACUGGGAGACUUGAGUGCAGAAGAGGAGAGUGGAAUUCCCAUGUGUAGCGGUGAAAUGCGUAGAUAUAUGGAGGAACACCAGUGGCGAAGGCGGCUCUCUGGUCUGUAACUGACGCUGAGGCUCGAAAGCGUGGGGAGCAAACAGGAUUAGAUACCCUGGUAGUCCACGCCGUAAACGAUGAGUGCUAAGUGUUGGAGGGGUUUCCGCCCUUCAGUGCUGCAGCUAACGCAUUAAGCACUCCGCCUGGGGAGUACGACCGCAAGGUUGAAACUCAAAGGAAUUGACGGGGCCCCGCACAAGCGGUGGAGCAUGUGGUUUAAUUCGAAGCAACGCGAAGACCCUUACCAGGUCUUGACAUCCUUGACCACUCUAGAGAUAGAGCUUCCCUUCGGGGCAAAGUGCCAGGUGGUGCAUGGUUGUCGUCAGCUCGUGUCGUGAGAUGUUGGGUUAAGUCCCGCAACGAGCGCACCCCUUAUUGUUAGUUGCCAUCAUUCAGUUGGCCACUCUACCAAGACUGCCGGUGCCAACCCGGAGGAAGGUGGGGAUG